This 409-nucleotide ribosomal RNA is filed under the name Brucella melitensis. RNAcentral describes it as "partial 16S ribosomal RNA". It matches the Rfam family "Bacterial small subunit ribosomal RNA", at positions 355 to 776 of the family's 1533-position model. The record is from RNAcentral. Lineage: Bacteria; Pseudomonadati; Pseudomonadota; Alphaproteobacteria; Hyphomicrobiales; Brucellaceae. RNAcentral also lists the same sequence under 1 other name.
UGGGGAAUAUUGCACAAUGGGCGAAAGCCUGAUGCAGCGACGCCGCGUGAGGGAUGACGGCCUUCGGGUUGUAAACCUCUUUCAGCAGGGACGAAGCGCAAGUGACGGUACCUGCAGAAGAAGCACCGGCUAACUACGUGCCAGCAGCCGCGGUAAUACGUAGGGUGCAAGCGUUGUCCGGAAUUACUGGGCGUAAAGAGUUCGUAGGCGGUUUGUCGCGUCGUUUGUGAUAACCAGCAGCUCAACUGCUGGCUUGCAGGCGAUACGGGCAGACUUGAGUACUGCAGGGGAGACUGGAAUUCCUGGUGUAGCGGUGAAAUGCGCAGAUAUCAGGAGGAACACCGGUGGCGAAGGCGGGUCUCUGGGCAGUAACUGACGCUGAGGAACGAAAGCGUGGGUAGCGAACAGG